RNAcentral lists this long non-coding RNA (875 nucleotides) under Equus caballus (horse). Its description in RNAcentral is "lncRNA (ENSECAG00000055348.1)". Lineage: Eukaryota; Metazoa; Chordata; Mammalia; Perissodactyla; Equidae. The record is from RNAcentral.
AGUAUGACUGGUGUCUUUAUAGGAAGAGGACGAGACCCCAGGGACACACGUGCACAGAGAAAAGGCCAUGGGAGGAUACAGCAAGAAGGCAGCCAUUCGCAUUUCAGAGAGACUCAGAAGAAACCAGCUCUGCCCACACCUUGAUCUCAGCCUUCCAGCCUCCAGGACUUUGAGAAGGCUCCCACCACAAAGACCUGCCACAGCUCCAGCCUCCACUGGAUGACUCCACUCUGGACCCAGAUGAUUAGUUUCACAUGAAAUUGUAAGAAGGAAUACAGAGAGCAGCCACGUACGCUUUCCCUAGUUUCCUGAAAUGGUAACAUUUUGCAAAAUUCCGGUGGACUAUCACAACCAGGUUCUUGACGUUGAUGCAGUCCACAGGCUUUAUCCCGAUUGGCCCAGUUGUACUUGGACUCCUUUGUAUGUGUGCCUGUGUAUUUGGUUCUUUGCAAUCUCAUCUGUGUAGGUUAGCAUUCCCUCUGCCCCUCCACCCCACAGUGGAGAUAAAGAACAAUUCCAUCCCCACAAGGAUCCAUCCAAUUGCUUUUUUAUAACCCCGCCUACCUCCCUCUCAACUCACUCAUUCUCUCUCCUCCCUAACCCCUGGCAACCUCUAACCUGUUCUCCGUUCUAUAAUUUUGUCAUUUCAAGAAGGUUAUGCACCAUUUGGAUUGGCUUUUGUCACUCAGCAUAAUUCUCUGGGAUUCCUCCAGCUGUUGCCUGUAUCAAUAGUUUGUUUCUUCUUAUUACUAAGUGGUACGCGAUGGCAUGGAUGUAUCACAGUCUGUUUAACUAUUUACCUGUUGAAGGACAUCAGGGCUGUUUCCAGGCUUUGGCUACUACAAAUAAAGCUGCUAUAAACAUUUGUGUAUCGA